This 6695-nucleotide long non-coding RNA is filed under the name Medicago truncatula (barrel medic). Its description in RNAcentral is "long non-coding RNA (MTRU_LNC004591)". Lineage: Eukaryota; Viridiplantae; Streptophyta; Magnoliopsida; Fabales; Fabaceae. The record is from RNAcentral.
UGAGAUUUUACCGUUUAGAGACCGUUAGUGACAUUUUACCGUUAUUAGUUAAAUAUCGUUUGGAGUGUAGAAAUAUUUUUGGUUUGAAUAGAAAUGGGUUAAGCCCACUAGAAACUAGGUUAAGCCCAUUAAGGGUCAUACCUAAGGAGUUGUCUUAGAAAAUAUCAUUCAUUUCAUUUCAUAAGAUAUUUUCCUAGAGAGAGGUGGAGAGAGAAAGUGGAGAAGAGAGGAACAAGGGUUAGAGAAGGAGAAACUUGAAGAAUCAAGAAUUGGGGUGAAUCUAAGAGCUAAAGUGAAGCCAAAGUUUGGAUUAAUCAUUAUCUAAAGUAAGGGGGUUAGUCUUCAUCAUAAUCAUGUUCAUUUAUUGCAAUUUCUCAUUUGUUGUAUGAAUAUGGGUUGAAUUGAAGAAAUGGAUAAUUGUUGCUAAAUUCGUGCUCUAACUGUGAUGUUAAGUUUGUAUGCAUGAAUUGAUGAUAAUUGUAUGAUUGUUGGUGAAAUUACAUGUUCAAUUAUGUAAAAAUGUGAAGUUUUGAAAAUUGUGCUCAAUUGGUGAAUUUUGCUAUGUUGUUGUUGAAUUAUGAUGAGAACCAUGUUCAAUUGAUGUUGUUGUUGUUAAUUGAUGUUGUUGUUGAUGAAUCAUUGCUUGGGUAUGCAUAUUCAUGAAUUGAUGAUGAGAAUUUGAAUUAUUGUUGGUGUUUUGGUGAAAAUGGAUGAAUUUGGUGAAUUGGCCAAAAGUGAGAUUGAUUUUCAUGUUCAAUGUGUUUUCGAGUGUCCUUGUGAGUUAUUUGACCUAUAAACAAUCUUUGGAAACAUGUUUGGGCAUUGGGAGAUCAAAAUUGGGAGUUUUGGGUGAAAAAUGGGUGAAAGUUGCUGUCUGAUGACUGCACGCUUAAGCGUGCUGUAAGCGAGCUGGUAAGCGUGCAGUUACAGUAGCUACUGGAUUUUGGACGCUUAAGCGUGAAGGUGGACGCUUAAGCGAGCAGUUCUUUUUCCAGCACUUUUGAAAUUUUGUUCUGAGCUUCCUAGGGCCAAUCCGAACUUCUUAAAACACUUCUUUUAACUUGUAUAAUCAUUAGUCUCAUACUUAAUCCUACUGGAACAUCUCCUUGAAUGAAAUUUGGACUUGGUUUGUGAAAUCAAAACUUAACUUUGAAAAUUGCUCAAGAACGUUGAUUUUUCUGGAAAAUGGGAUCUUCAAGAAAAUGGAAUGGGAUUAAGAUAGAAUAGAGAUUAUAUGAUUACUGAAAAUGGUAGCGAUUGGUUUCCUUGAGUUUUAUUUGGUUUUGGUUUUGAAAAUGGAAGAUUCUUGUAAAAUGUUAAAGAGAGACGAACAUUGAUGAAAAUAUUCUUUUAAGCCAAUCACCUUAUAAAUCUUUCAUAUUUAGUUUUGUAUGACUAUAUGGAAGUAUUUGAUUGUUAGUUGAGUUUUGAAUGUGAUGUUUAUCUUAAGGUGAUGUAUUUUCCUCUUGACUUGGAAAGUGAGCAAAUCAUGUAUUUGAUGUGAAAUUAUGUGAAGGUAAUGAUAUUGGUGAAUCCAUAUACAUUGUUUAUUAUGAUAUGGUGAGUGAAUAUAUAUCUUGUUGUGAAUUGUUGGUGAGUACAUAUAUGUCGAGAAAUGAUGAAUUGGUGUGAAUGCAUUUAUGCAAGUAAUAUUGGUGAGAAUAUGGUGAAUUGUUUGUAUGAACAUAUGUAUUGUUGUUGAGAUAUAUGUUUAUGCAUACAUGACUGAUGGUGACGGAUUUUAUAUCAAAUAUGGUGAGUUGUUUGUGUGAACAUAUGCAUUGUUGUUGAGUCAUAUGUUCAUGCAUACAUGACUGAUGGAGACAGAUAUUUUUAUAUAUCCAAAUGGUGAGAUUAUGAUGUUCUGUCGACAUCAUGGGCGACGGCCUAAAUAUUGGUGAUGGUGAGACUGGUACCGCAUGCAUCUAGAAGAGUCUAGAACAUUGCAUGCAUUUGAUUGGUUGAUGAAGUAUGUCAUAAUUGAAUAUGUGACUUGAUGAAAUGUGAUUGGUGAUUGUUCAUGACUUAUGAUUGGUGAUUGUUCAUGAAAUGUGAUUAAUGAAUGUUCAUGGAAUAUGAUUGAUAUUUGUUCACGAUAUAUGUGAUUGGUGAUUGUGUAUGAAUAACUGUGAAUUGAUAUUUGUUCAUGACACAUGUGAUUGAUGAUUAUUAAUGUGAGAUAUUGGGGUUUGAUGUAAGUAUUGAUAUGAGAAUAUUAUUAUUGAUCAAGUGCAUGAUGUUUAUAUUGAAAUAUUCAUGUUAACUGUUAUUUGGAUUAUGAUGAUGUAAUACUUACCCCCAGUGGAUCUGUGAUGGACCGCCUGCCUAUCUUUAUAGAUGGGUCGACGUUGUGCAGGUUUAGAUGCUUGGUGAGUACUUGGUGUUGCUGGAUAGUGGGAGCUUUCUCCGCUAUCGGGUCUUAGAGUAGUAUAGGUUCUGAUCUAGGGGUCUUUGUAUGAUUACUCUAGAUCUUUUGUUGGAUUUAUUCAUGUUUCGAGAUUUUGUCCACUUGUCGGACUUGGAGAAUUGUUGUGCUUGUGCAUUUUGAGAUCAUGUGACAUGUAUGCUUUGAUGUAUAAGAAUUUUGUAUCCGCUGCGACUGAUGAGGUUUUAUAUACAUGCAUGUUGACCGUUGAUUCGAUUUUGAUUUCCUUUGUUUUGGUGAAAGUAGCGACUAUUUCUUGAAUAUUAUUAUUAUUCGCAUGUUUUAUUGCUUUAAUAGAAAUAGGCUGUUACAAGGCGAGGCAUGAAUACUCGCGUGGCGAGCGACGAACUUCAUCACUCGCGAGGCGAGACAUGCUGCUCGCGAGGGCGAGCGAUGAAUGUUGGCUCGGGCAGAAUUGCAGUUUUCAUGAAAAUCCACCUAAAGGCAUGGUUUUAAGCUUAACAUUGAUUCAAGAUAUCAACCUAUGGAUUGUCUAAGGUCUGUACACAGUUUCUACAUCAAUCUAACAAUUUUUCAUCAAUUAAUCAUCAAUUUCUCACUUUAACCUAAUUCUCAAAAACUAAUCCUACAACCUGUUAAAUACAACCAUCAGAAUCGUAGACUUAAUAGAAUUGAAUUCUAGCCCCACCCUUACCUUAAGAAAUCGAUGGACAGCCUCUUCUUGGUUCUUCUCUCUUCUUGUUCUCCCUUUUCUCCCAAAAUUGAUUGUAUGUGAAAACUUUUCUAAACCUAGUUCUAACCUAUUUAUAUCUCCUCUAUCUAUUCUAUUAUAUUCCUCUUUUUCCCACAAAACUCUCUAAAUUCACAGAACAGCCCCUCAUCUCAAUAUUUAUUUUAUUUUCAAAUCUUAUUCUAUUAAACAAUAAAAUAAGUCACAACACAUCACAUAAACACUUAAAAUCACAUUAAUCGUAUAAAUCAUCUUAAUAGACUCUAAUUUCAACAAAAUAAUUAAAUAAAUCAAAAGAGGGCGUUACAGUUAGCAUAUGGUUUGUUAAUUUUGAUUAUAAUAUGUUUGAUUGCAAUGCGGUAGUUUACUGAUUGAAAUGACAUUGUUGGAAUUUUAGUGUGGUUGUUGAAUUGUUGGAAAUGACACAAUGUGCGUGUGAAAAUGUAUCAUUGAAUUUGUGUUUUGUUAAAUGUUUUGCAGAUAUGCCUCAGAGGAAUACGUCUCAGAGACUGCCUGAGCGGCCUCAUGAUAGGAAUGAGAGUGACAGACUUAGGGCAUGGAGGCCUGCCCUACUAGUAGUACAUGGAGGGAAAAACAAGCAUUGCACCCUCCUAUGGCUGGUCAAGGGAGAGGUGGGGGAACGAGACUUGCUAGAGUUGAUGCUGCAGGGGGGGUCAAGGUCGUAGACGGGUCCAUCCUAGACGGUGAACCCGACACAGUAUCAGCAUGAUUAUCAGGUGUAUGAGCAGGUGCAGGAUCAGGCGUAUCAUUUUCAGGAGCCUCAGCCUCACUAGUAUCAGUUUGAUGCGUAUCAGCAACAUCAUCAUGAGCAGCCUGGUAUUAAGCAGGAGCAUCCUGAUAUUGACCAGGAGUAGCCUGAUAUUGAGGAGCCACAGCAGCAGAAUAUUAAGCAGCCUCAACAGUAUGAUGGGGGGGUCGUUUUCAGGGGGUGCCGAGGGUGGUGUACGAGGCUGGACCGGAUGGAUAUGCAGGGGGCCUUCUGAGCUGACGCUUUUACCUCACUUUGGUGGACAUGUGGCAGCAGGGUUUGGGUCGAUGCCGAUUUAAGUAUAAUUUAAUUAUUAUUUUACUUAUUUAAUGUUAGAAUUAAAAUUUAUGUUAGCAUAUAUUUAAUGUUUGUUUUACUUUUAUUUAUUUAACGGUGUUGUUUGUUGUUUUUUGUUUUUGUAUUUCAGUUUCGAAGAAAACAUAGGGUGAAAGGUAUCUCGCACGGGAAGAAGCUGAGCCUUAAAAACUUGACAUUUCCUAUGAUGGGGGAACAAAACGAGUGGUUUUGGUCAGAAAUGAAUAUGUCCGGUCUUACUCCCCUUCUGACUAGUGGGUACGAGAACAUUUCUCACGGGUUUGUUUGUGCAAUGAGAGAGAGAUGGCAUGAGGAGACCAGCAACUUCCAUCUACCGGUUGGGGAGAUGACCAUCACACUAGAUGAUGUGGCGUGUCUCCUAGGCAUCCCCAUCAUUGGGAGACUCCUUUCGGAUAAAGAGUUAACCCGUGAGGAGGCGCUAGAGAUGAUGCAGACAAACCUACUUUUUACAGCGGAGGCUGCCGGUAAGGAGCUGACAAGACAGGGUGCUUCUCACAUCAGUUUUGGUGCAUUGAAGACGCGGUACGAGGAGAUCUUGAAUAGGUGUAACCAGCUGCUUGUGCCAGACACAGAGGAGGAGCAAGAGGAGCAAGCUCGAGUUAGGCUGGCCUGCAUUAAGGUGUUUAUGUUGCUCUUGAUUGGCUGGACCAUUUUUUCCGGCAAGAACAGCAAAAACAUUAAUCUUUUUUGGCUACUUGCGCUGCAAGAUAUGGACGAGUUGGACAGCUGGUCAUGGGGUGGGAUGAGACUUGCUUUCCUAUAUGAGCAGCUAUCUCUUACCUUCGACUCAUAUGUGGCCUCCUGUGGUGGUUACAUGACAUUGCUUGUGAUAAUAUUUGUUUUUCUUCUUUUUUACUUAUUGGAUCGUAAAUGUUUAGUUGUUUGUAUAAUUCUUGCGGUGAUAUAAAUAUUUGUUUUUUUGUGUUUGCAUGGAUGAACUUUGGCACACUUCUCGAACAUCAUUCCGAGGAUUGAUGAUGAUGCCUACGACCCUACUGUUUUCCCGCUUGUGAGUCAAUGGAAACCUCCAAGGGGCUUUACUAAUCCUGGACACUACAGAGCUGCCAUUGAUUCGUUGGUACUCCGGAUGGAUCAUGGUCGGCAACGACAGGAUGGUCCGUCACUUGCCAGAGCGGGUUCUUAGGCAGUACGGGUAUGUCCAGACUAUUCACAGGGCUCGUACAUACAUUGAGCUUAUUACGGCGGAUGACGUGGCCCAUGCCUUCACAUAGUUUGUGUAACAGUCCGAUUUUUAGCUAGAUUUAUUUUCAUUACUUUUAUUAUGUGUUUAUAUGUGUUUGUGUGAUUAAUCAUCAUUGGGUGCAUUUUCAUGGGUUUCUGUGUUAGAAGGGUAUUUUAGUCAUUUUAGACUUAUGGGUAUUUUGGUCAUUUUGCGAGAACAGGUAAAAUUAUAAUUUUAGUGGGAAUUACUUUUAGUGAUUAGUGAGAAUAGUUAUUUCAUUAAGUUACUAGAGUAAAUUGAGAUUUUACCGUUUAUUGACCGUUAGUGACAUUUUACCGUUAUUAGUUAAAUAUCGCUUGAAGUGUAGAAAUAUUUUUUGGUUUGAAUAGAAAUGGGUUAAGCCCACUAGAAACUAGGUUAAGCCCAUUAAGGGUCAUACCUAAGGAGUUGUCUUAGGAAAAUAUCACUUCAUUCAUUUCAUAAGAUAUUUUCUAGAGAGAGGUAGAGAGAGAAAGUGGGAGAAGAGAAGAACAAGGGUUGGAGAGAAGAGGAACUUGAAGAAUUCAAGGGUUUGAAGAAUCAUAGGAGCAAAAGUGAAGCUAGAGCUAAUAGUUGGAGAUAAUUAAGGUAAGGGGGUUAGUUUUUAUCAUAAUCAUUUAGUUAAUUCUUUUUCUCUUGUUCUAUGCAUAAUUGAUUAUGGGAAUAAGUGAUUAUCAUGAACCCAAUCUUUGAAAUUCGUGCUUAUGUUGUAGAGAUAUGUUUGAAUAUGUUAAUUUGAUGUUAAAUGAAUUGUUGAUGAUGAAAUUGCAAGUUCAUGAUGUAUGAAAAUGGGUAGUUUGUAAAUUAUGCUCAAUUGGUGAAUUAUGCAUGGUUGUUGAUGAAUUGUGAUAUGUUUCAUGAUCAAUGGUUGUUGUUGUUGUUUAGUCAUAUUGUUGAUGAUGAUACAUGGCUUGGGUUUGCAUGAUUCAUGAUUUGUUGUUGAGAAAUGGAUUGUUGUUGGUGGUUUUGUGAAAUUGGUGAAGUUGAGUUAAGUGUUCAUGUGAAGGACCAAAAUGAACUUUUGAUAUAUAUGGUUGUUGACUGAAAUUUUGUUAUUGUUGGAUGAAUUGAACCUAGGAGAAUUUCUGUUUUCAUGUUGUGGUUAUGUUAGUUGAGUCGUUUGGGAGAAAACAGGUUUUUCGUGUGAAAUGUCGAUGUUUAAGCGUUUUCGCCAAUAAGUGAUUAUGUGAGGUUUUGGAAUAUGACUUUUGGGAUGGUUGAAACAUGAAAUUUUUGUAGAUUAUGUUAGAGU